Molecule: long non-coding RNA, 631 nt
Filed under: Triticum aestivum (bread wheat)
Lineage: Eukaryota; Viridiplantae; Streptophyta; Magnoliopsida; Poales; Poaceae
Description: long non-coding RNA (TAES_LNC018094)
Source: RNAcentral
UUACCCCAAGCACAGAACGUUGAUUCUUUCCUCAAGACCACAACGAGACUAAAUAAAGAGCUGUUGUUCUUCAACAUCCUUGACAUCAAGACCACAAUUCCAAUAACCACAGCGAUGCAAUACAAGAACAGCACCAAAGGCCAGUAUCAUGACAGGACUUUUACCAUCAGAGCAACGCAGAAACAUGGAUCCCAAAUAUUACUCAGACAAAAUAACGCAAUCCACUGAAGCUCCCAAGGAACCGGUUACAAGCCAAAUCCAGGUAGGAACAUUGGUAAACCAAGCACUAGUCAGCAUGGAUAACAAAAGCAUUAAACUUCUCAUAAAGAGUACAACAGCAAACCAUUUGCUGCCUUAUGUGAUAAAGCAAACAUACCACUAGUAUUAUCCAAUACCUUUCAUACCUGAGACAGAAUCUCCACCAUCAAGAUCAGUAUUCAUCUCGGCUGCGACGAUCAUACGGUCCAGACCUGUCACGGCUGUAUCGAUCACCGCCACCACUGCUGCGGCUUCCUCCAUCACGACUUCCAGAAUAGCGAUCACCACCACGGUCAGGCCCAUAGCGACUGCUGCCGUUGCUACCACCAUACUUGUCAUCCCUUCCACCAUCCCUGCCACCAUACCUGUCAUC